GGAAAUCUUUCUACACUCUCAGUGCCAUCAGGGUGAAUGGGGUAAAGAUAGAUUUUCACACAUUCUGAGGCAGGGCAGUGCUGAUUGAGGGUAUGGUACCACUCUGAGAAACAACUACCGUGGACUUCAAUCAGCUCAAUGAACGCAGUGUAGCUUUCCCAGGCACCUGGUGGUUCUCAGCUUCUGUACCAACCAGUUUGGACAUCAGAAGAACUGUCAGAAUGAGUAGAUCCUGAACAGCCUUAUGUAUGUCUGCCCUGGGGUUGGGUACCAGCUCACCUUCAGUCUUACCCAAAAACGUGAUGUCAAUGCACAGAACAAGGAUGCUGUCUUUGCCUAUCUGAAAGACAAGCUGCGCUGCCCUUAUGAUGAUCCAUUCUCUCUCACAACAGGUCCCAAGCUCAUCAUG
This 409-nucleotide long non-coding RNA is filed under the name Mus musculus (house mouse). Its description in RNAcentral is "long non-coding RNA chrX:94557340-94557749". Lineage: Eukaryota; Metazoa; Chordata; Mammalia; Rodentia; Muridae. The record is from RNAcentral.